Molecule: ribosomal RNA, 459 nt
Filed under: uncultured bacterium
Lineage: Bacteria
Description: partial 16S ribosomal RNA
Rfam family: Bacterial small subunit ribosomal RNA
Source: RNAcentral
CCUACGGGAGGCAGCAGUGAGGAAUAUUGGUCAAUGGCCGAGAGGCUGAACCAGCCAAGUCGCGUGAGGGAAGACGGCCCUACGGGUUGUAAACCUCUUUUGUCGGGGAGCAAAGCGAGUCACGUGUGACUCAUUGAGAGUACCCGAAGAAAAAGCAUCGGCUAACUCCGUGCCAGCAGCCGCGGUAAUACGGAGGAUGCGAGCGUUAUCCGGAUUUAUGGGGUUUAAAGGGGGGGCAGGGGGAGGUGCAAGUCAGCGGUCAAAUUGUGGGGCCAAACCCCGUACUGCCGUUGAAACUGGAUGCCUUGAGUGCGCGAGAAGUAUGCGGAAUGCGUGGUGUAGCGGUGAAAUGCAUAGAUAUCACGAAGAACUCCGAUUGCGAAGGCAGCAUACCGGCGCGCAACUGACGCUGAUGCACGAAAGCGUGGGUAUCGAACAGGAUUAGAUACCCGUGUAGUC